CGCUAUCACUCCUACGGGAGACAGCAGUGGGGGAAUAUUGCACAAUGGGGGGAAAACCCUGAUGCAGCCAUGCCGCGUGUGUGAAGAAGGCCUUCGGGUUGUAAAGCACUUUCAGUAGGGAGGAAGGUAGUGUAGUUAACACCUGCAUUAUUUGACGUUACCUACAGAAGAAGCACCGGCUAACUCCGUGCCAGCAGCCGCGGUAAUACGGAGGGUGCGAGCGUUAAUCGGAAUUACUGGGCGUAAAGCGCAUGCAGGCGGCCUGUUAAGUCAGAUGUGAAAGCCCGGGGCUUAACCUCGGAAUUGCAUUUGAAACUGGCAGGCUAGAGUCUUGUAGAGGGGGUAGAAUUUCAGGUGUAGCGGUGAAAUGCGUAGAGAUCUGAAGGAAUACCAGUGGCGAAGGCGGCCCCCUGGACAAAGACUGACGCUCAGAUGCGAAAGCGUGGGGAGCAAACAGGAUUAGAUACCCUGGUAG
RNAcentral lists this ribosomal RNA (475 nucleotides) under uncultured bacterium. RNAcentral describes it as "bacterial SSU rRNA". It matches the Rfam family "Bacterial small subunit ribosomal RNA", at positions 328 to 793 of the family's 1533-position model. The record is from RNAcentral.